CAUUUCUGGCACUCCUGGCCUAUUGCACGGCUUGAAGCACCAGGGUGAUAUUAGGUCCUUUGGUCCAUAGGGGUCCAGGCUGUUCUGAUGUUCAUUGCUGAAAUGAAAAAGGCCAGACUCGGGGAUGGAAACAUAGGCCUGCGAAGGCUGGCUGUCCAAGGGAAAACCGUGAACUGGAAGACCAAAGGCAGUUUCACAUCGCUGACAUUCAGGGACCAAACUCCACCAACUAUCUUGAGGAUCCUGAAGCAAGUGAGUCUGGAGGGACACUUGCUUUUUCAUCUGUCUCUUCAAGAGUUCCUGCAUGUGAAGAGCAAGAGAGGAAAUCGGGUCUGCUCCCCCUUACAAGGCACCACGCAACCCCACGCACUGGAAAGCUUUCUCCUGCUGAGAACCAGUGUGGCAAUCUCCUGAGGCAAGAGACGUAUGUUCUGCUAAGGAGAACCAUGGAUCUGCUGCAUUUGAAUGGCAAUAAGUGUUGAUCUACC
Long non-coding RNA from Mastomys coucha (southern multimammate mouse), 488 nucleotides. RefSeq lists it as uncharacterized. The transcript has 2 exons. Lineage: Eukaryota; Metazoa; Chordata; Mammalia; Rodentia; Muridae. The record is from RefSeq and is a predicted model, not a curated record.